UAUACAGGUGGUGCAUGGCUGUCGUCAGCUCGUGUCGUGAGAUGUUGGGUUAAGUCCCGCAACGAGCGCAACCCUCGUCCUAUGUUGCCAGCACGUAAUGGUGGGAACUCAUGGGAGACUGCCGGGGUCAACUCGGAGGAAGGUGGGGAUGACGUCAAAUCAUCAUGCCCCUUAUGUCUUGGGCUUCACGCAUGCUACAAUGGCCGAUACAAAGGGCUGCGAUACCGCAAGGUGGAGCGAAUCCCAUAAAGUCGGUCUCAGUUCGGAUUGGGGUCUGCAACUCGACCCCAUGAAGUCGGAGUCGCUAGUAAUCGUAGAUCAGCAACGCUACGGUGUAUACGUUCCCGGGCCUUGUACACACCGCCCGUCAAGUCACGAAAGUCGGUAACACCCGAAGUCCGGUGGCCUAACCGUAAGGAAGGAGCCGUCGAAG
RNAcentral lists this ribosomal RNA (433 nucleotides) under uncultured Actinomycetes bacterium. RNAcentral describes it as "bacterial SSU rRNA". It matches the Rfam family "Bacterial small subunit ribosomal RNA", at positions 1031 to 1461 of the family's 1533-position model. Lineage: Bacteria; Bacillati; Actinomycetota; Actinomycetes. The record is from RNAcentral.